GACGGAGGGGGCUAGCGUUGUUCGGAAUUACUGGGCGUAAAGCGCGCGUAGGCGGCGCAUUAAGUCAGAGGUGAAAGCCCGGGGCUCAACCCCGGAAUUGCCUUUGAGACUGGUGUGCUUGAGUACGGAAGAGGUGAGUGGAAUUCCCAGUGUAGAGGUGAAAUUCGUAGAUAUUGGGAAGAACACCAGUGGCGAAGGCGGCUCACUGGUCCGUAACUGACGCUGAGGUGCGAAAGCGUGGGGAGCAAACAGGAUUAGAUACCCCGGUAGUCC
This 273-nucleotide ribosomal RNA is filed under the name uncultured bacterium. Its description in RNAcentral is "partial 16S ribosomal RNA". It matches the Rfam family "Bacterial small subunit ribosomal RNA", at positions 524 to 796 of the family's 1533-position model. The record is from RNAcentral.